CAGCCGCCACGGGAAUACGUAGGUGGCAAGCGUUGUCCGGAAUUAUUGGGCGUAAAGGGCUCGCAGGCGGUUUCUUAAGCCUGAUGUGAAAGCCCCCGGCUCAACCGGGGAGAGUCAUUGGAAACUGGGAAACUUGAGUGCAGAAGAGGAGAGUGGAAUUCCACGUGUAGCGGUGAAAUGCGUAGAGAUGUGGAGGAACACCAGUGGCGAAGGCGACUCUCUGGUCUGUAACUGACGCUGAGGCGCGAAAGUCAGGGGAGCGAACGGGAUUAGAUACCCGCGUAGUCCCUGUCUCUUAUAA
This 301-nucleotide ribosomal RNA is filed under the name uncultured bacterium. RNAcentral's name for it is "partial 16S ribosomal RNA". It matches the Rfam family "Bacterial small subunit ribosomal RNA", at positions 509 to 808 of the family's 1533-position model. The record is from RNAcentral.